AUUGAACGCUGGCGGCAGGCCUAACACAUGCAAGUCGAGCGGAGCGGCGGACGGGUGAGUAAUGCCUAGGAAUCUGCCUGGUCGUGGGGGAUAACGUCCGGAAACGGGCGCUAAUACCGCAUACUAUCAGAUGAGCCUAGGUCGGAAUAGCUAGUUGGUGGGGUAAAGGCAUACCCAGGCGACGAUCCGUAACUGGUCCGAGAGGAUGAUCAGUCACACUGGAACUGAGACACGGUCCAGACUCCUACGGGAGGCAGCAGUGGGGAAUAUUGGACAAUGGGCGAAAGCCUGAUGCAGCCAUGCCGCGUGUGUGAAGAAGGUCUUCGGGUUGUAAAGCACUUUAAGCUGGGAGGCGUUACCAACAGAAGAAGCACCGGCUAACUCCGUGCCAGCAGCCGCGGUAAUAC
RNAcentral lists this ribosomal RNA (407 nucleotides) under uncultured bacterium. RNAcentral's name for it is "partial 16S ribosomal RNA". It matches the Rfam family "Bacterial small subunit ribosomal RNA", at positions 30 to 526 of the family's 1533-position model. The record is from RNAcentral.